Molecule: ribosomal RNA, 1245 nt
Filed under: metagenome
Description: bacterial LSU rRNA
Rfam family: Bacterial large subunit ribosomal RNA
Source: RNAcentral
UACACGACCGUACCGCAAACCGACACUGGUGCGCGAGAUGAGUAUUCUAAGGCGCUUGAGAGAGCUCAGGAGAAGGAACUCGGCAAAUUGACACCGUAACUUCGGAAGAAGGUGUGCCCUAUUAGUGUGAUGAGAACAUCUGAGCAUGAAUGGGUUGCAAAAAAUCGGUGGCUGCGACUGUUUAUUAAAAACACAGCACUCUGCAAACACGAAAGUGGACGUAUAGGGUGUGACGCCUGCCCGGUGCUGGAAGAUUAAAUGAUGGGGUGCAAGCUCUUGAUUGAAGUCCCAGUAAACGGCGGCCGUAACUAUAACGGUCCUAAGGUAGCGAAAUUCCUUGUCGGGUAAGUUCCGACCUGCACGAAUGGCGUAACGAUGGCCACACUGUCUCCUCCUGAGACUCAGCGAAGUUGAAAUGUUUGUGAUGAUGCAAUCUCCCCGCGGAAAGACGGAAAGACCCCAUGAACCUUUACUGUAGCUUUGUAUUGGACUUUGAACAGAUCUGUGUAGGAUAGGUGGGAGGCUUUGAAGCAGGGUCGCUAGAUCUUGUGGAGCCAACGUUGAAAUACCACCCUGGUGUGUUUGAGGUUCUAACCUAGGUCCAUUAUCUGGAUCGGGGACAGUGCAUGGUAGGCAGUUUGACUGGGGCUCUCCUCCCAAAGCGUAACGGAGGAGUUCGAAGGUACGCUAGUUACGGUCGGACAUCGUGACGAUAGUGCAAUGGCAUAAGCGUGCUUAACUGCGAGACUGACAAGUCGAGCAGAUGCGAAAGCAGGACAUAGUGAUCCGGUGGUUCUGUAUGGAAGGGCCAUCGCUCAACGGAUAAAAGGUACUCUGGGGAUAACAGGCUGAUACCGCCCAAGAGUUCAUAUCGACGGCGGUGUUUGGCACCUCGAUGUCGGCUCAUCUCAUCCUGGGGCUGUAGCCGGUCCCAAGGGUAUGGCUGUUCGCCAUUUAAAGAGGUACGUGAGCUGGGUUUAAAACGUCGUGAGACAGUUUGGUCCCUAUCUUCCGUGGGCGCUGCAGAUUUGAGGAAGCCUGCUCCUAGUACGAGAGGACCGGAGUGGACACACCUCUGGUGUAUCGGUUGUCACGCCAGUGGCAUUGCCGAGUAGCUAAGUGUGGAAGAGAUAACCGCUGAAAGCAUCUAAGCGGGAAACUCGUUUCAAGAUGAGAUCUGCCGGGGCCUUGAGCCCCCUGAAGAGUCGUUCAAGACCAGGACGUUGAUAGGUCAGGUGUGGAAGC